RNAcentral lists this long non-coding RNA (474 nucleotides) under Pseudonaja textilis. RNAcentral describes it as "lncRNA (ENSPTXG00000009727.1)". Lineage: Eukaryota; Metazoa; Chordata; Lepidosauria; Squamata; Elapidae. The record is from RNAcentral.
UCUUUUGUGGAUUUAUUUCAGGGCCUCCAUGCCUGUGUUUACUAUGAAAGGCUCCUCUAUCCCAAGAGCAACUUCGUUGGCUUCCAAAGCAUCGUUACAGAAGAGGAGACAUACCACAAUUUCUACCUCUCAUUUGCCAAGCAGCCGCAUUGGUAGGCUCCAGGGUCGUUCUGUAAAGUCUUCACAGGUUGUGAAUGCACCAGGACGUCCAUCUGGCAUCCCUGCAUGGAAAUGGCGCUAGAGAUUUGUUCGUUCCUAGGAACCAGCAUUCUAUUGUAGGCUCACUCCAUGAAGUUUCUUUCAAGCUUCUACUUGAACAUUUUAACAUUCUGACAUCUUAUCUCUUCAGCUUCCUCUAUUUUUAUUUAAUUGUAUCUGAAUCUGUAUAUCCACAUCUACUUUUUUAAUAGCAAGUGUACAUUGAAUUAACAUGACAGCUGAGUUGCCAUAAAUUAUUAGGAAACAACAGCAAAC